UACAGAGGGUGCAAGCGUUGUUCGGAAUUAUUGGGCGUAAAGCGCGUGUAGGCGGCCGUGCAAGUCGGGUGUGAAAGCCCUCGGCUCAACCGAGGAAGUGCGCCCGAAACUGCAUGGCUUGAGUACCGGAGAGGAUGGCGGAAUUCCCCAAGUAGAGGUGAAAUUCGUAGAUAUUGGGAAGAACACCGGUGGCGAAGGCGGCUCACUGGCUCGUUUCUGACGCUCAGGCGCGACAGCGUGGGGAUCAAACAGG
Molecule: ribosomal RNA, 253 nt
Filed under: uncultured bacterium
Lineage: Bacteria
Description: partial 16S ribosomal RNA
Rfam family: Bacterial small subunit ribosomal RNA
Source: RNAcentral